Molecule: ribosomal RNA, 670 nt
Filed under: uncultured bacterium
Lineage: Bacteria
Description: bacterial SSU rRNA
Rfam family: Bacterial small subunit ribosomal RNA
Source: RNAcentral
UUACUGGNCAGUUACUGACGCUGAGGAGCGAAAGCNUGGGGAGCGAACAGGAUUAGAUACCCUGGUAGUNCAUGCUGUAAACGGUGGGCGCUAGGUGUGGGCUGUGUGUUUGCAGUCUGUGCCGUAGCUAACGCAUUAAGCGCCCCGCCUGGGGAGUACGGCCGCAAGGCUAAAACUCAAAGGAAUUGACGGGGGCCCGCACAAGCGGCGGAGCAUGUGGAUUAAUUCGAUGCAACGCGAAGAACCUUACCUGGGUUUGACAUGCACCAGAUCGGCGUAGAGAUACGUCUUCCCUUGUGGUUGGUGCACAGGUGGUGCAUGGUUGUCGUCAGCUCGUGUCGUGAGAUGUUGGGUUAAGUCCCGCAACGAGCGCAACCCUUGUCUUAUGUUGCCAGCACAUUUUUGGUGGGGACUCAUGAGAAACUGCCGGGGUCAACUCGGAGGAAGGUGGGGAUGACGUCAAAUCAUCAUGCCCUUUAUACCCAGGGCUUCACACAUGCUACAAUGGUCGGUACAACGGGUUGCGACACUGUGAAGUGAAGCUAAUCUCUCAAAGCCGGCCUCAGUUCGGAUUGGGGUCUGCAACUCGACCCCAUGAAGUCGGAGUCGCUAGUAAUCGCAGAUCAGCAACGCUGCGGUGAAUACGUUCCCGGGCCUUGUACACACCGCC